Molecule: ribosomal RNA, 468 nt
Filed under: uncultured bacterium
Lineage: Bacteria
Description: partial 16S ribosomal RNA
Rfam family: Bacterial small subunit ribosomal RNA
Source: RNAcentral
GACGAACGCUGGCGGCGUGCUUAACACAUGCAAGUCGAACGGAAAGGCCCUGCUUUUGUGGGGUGCUCGAGUGGCGAACGGGUGAGUAACAAGUGAGUAACCUGCCCUUGACUUUGGGAUAACUUCAGGAAACUGGGGCUAAUAACGGAUAGGAGCUCCUGCUGCAUGGUGGGGGUUGGAAAGUUUCGGCGGUUGGGGAUGGACUCGCGGCUUAUCAGCUUGUUGGUGGGGUAGUGGCUUACCAAGGCUUUGACGGGUAGCCGGCCUGAGAGGGUGACCGGCCACAUUGGGACUGGGAUACGGCCCAGACUCCUACGGGAGGCAGCAGUGGGGAAUAUUGCACAAUGGGCGGAAGCCUGAUGCAGCAACGCCGCGUGCGGGAUGACGGCCUUCGGGUUGUAAACCGCUUUCGCCUGUGACGAAGCGUGAGUGACGGUAAUGGGUAAAGAAGCACCGGCUAACUACGUG